Molecule: ribosomal RNA, 1528 nt
Filed under: Klebsiella pneumoniae
Lineage: Bacteria; Pseudomonadati; Pseudomonadota; Gammaproteobacteria; Enterobacterales; Enterobacteriaceae
Also listed under: 1 other name
Description: bacterial SSU rRNA
Rfam family: Bacterial small subunit ribosomal RNA
Source: RNAcentral
AGAGUUUGAUCAUGGCUCAGAUUGAACGCUGGCGGCAGGCCUAACACAUGCAAGUCGAGCGGUAGCACAGAGAGCUUGCUCUCGGGUGACGAGCGGCGGACGGGUGAGUAAUGUCUGGGAAACUGCCUGAUGGAGGGGGAUAACUACUGGAAACGGUAGCUAAUACCGCAUAACGUCGCAAGACCAAAGUGGGGGACCUUCGGGCCUCAUGCCAUCAGAUGUGCCCAGAUGGGAUUAGCUAGUAGGUGGGGUAACGGCUCACCUAGGCGACGAUCCCUAGCUGGUCUGAGAGGAUGACCAGCCACACUGGAACUGAGACACGGUCCAGACUCCUACGGGAGGCAGCAGUGGGGAAUAUUGCACAAUGGGCGCAAGCCUGAUGCAGCCAUGCCGCGUGUAUGAAGAAGGCCUUCGGGUUGUAAAGUACUUUCAGCGGGGAGGAAGGCGAUAAGGUUAAUAACCUUGUCGAUUGACGUUACCCGCAGAAGAAGCACCGGCUAACUCCGUGCCAGCAGCCGCGGUAAUACGGAGGGUGCAAGCGUUAAUCGGAAUUACUGGGCGUAAAGCGCACGCAGGCGGUCUGUCAAGUCGGAUGUGAAAUCCCCGGGCUCAACCUGGGAACUGCAUUCGAAACUGGCAGGCUAGAGUCUUGUAGAGGGGGGUAGAAUUCCAGGUGUAGCGGUGAAAUGCGUAGAGAUCUGGAGGAAUACCGGUGGCGAAGGCGGCCCCCUGGACAAAGACUGACGCUCAGGUGCGAAAGCGUGGGGAGCAAACAGGAUUAGAUACCCUGGUAGUCCACGCCGUAAACGAUGUCGAUUUGGAGGUUGUGCCCUUGAGGCGUGGCUUCCGGAGCUAACGCGUUAAAUCGACCGCCUGGGGAGUACGGCCGCAAGGUUAAAACUCAAAUGAAUUGACGGGGGCCCGCACAAGCGGUGGAGCAUGUGGUUUAAUUCGAUGCAACGCGAAGAACCUUACCUGGUCUUGACAUCCACAGAACUUAGCAGAGAUGCUUUGGUGCCUUCGGGAACUGUGAGACAGGUGCUGCAUGGCUGUCGUCAGCUCGUGUUGUGAAAUGUUGGGUUAAGUCCCGCAACGAGCGCAACCCUUAUCCUUUGUUGCCAGCGGUUAGGCCGGGAACUCAAAGAAGACUGCCAGUGAUAAACUGGAGGAAGGUGGGGAUGACGUCAAGUCAUCAUGGCCCUUACGACCAGGGCUACACACGUGCUACAAUGGCAUAUACAAAGAGAAGCGACCUCGCGAGAGCAAGCGGACCUCAUAAAGUAUGUCGUAGUCCGGAUUGGAGUCUGCAACUCGACUCCAUGAAGUCGGAAUCGCUAGUAAUCGUAGAUCAGAAUGCUACGGUGAAUACGUUCCCGGGCCUUGUACACACCGCCCGUCACACCAUGGGAGUGGGUUGCAAAAGAAGUAGGUAGCUUAACCUUCGGGAGGGCGCUUACCACUUUGUGAUUCAUGACUGGGGUGAAGUCGUAACAAGGUAACCGUAGGGGAACCUGCGGUUGGAUCACCU